GACGAACGCUGGCGGCGUGCUUAACACAUGCAAGUCGAACGAAGUGGCGAACGGGUGAGUAACGCGUAAUCAACCUGCCCUUCAGAGGGGGACAACAGUUGGAAACGACUGCUAAUACCGCAUACAGAAGGAGGGGCUUGCGUCUGAUUAGCUAGUUGGCGGGGUAACGGCCGACCAAGGCGAUGAUCAGUAGCAGGGCUGAGAGGAUGACCGGCCACAUUGGGACUGAGACACGGCCCAGACUCCUACGGGAGGCAGCAGUGGGGAAUCUUCCGCAAUGGACGAAAGUCUGACGGAGCAACGCCGCGGGAGUGAUGACGGCCUUCGGGUUGUAAAGCUCUGUUAAUCGGGACGCGGUACCGGAAUAGAAAGCCACGGCUAACUACGUGCCAGCAGCCGCGGUAAUAC
RNAcentral lists this ribosomal RNA (408 nucleotides) under uncultured bacterium. RNAcentral's name for it is "partial 16S ribosomal RNA". It matches the Rfam family "Bacterial small subunit ribosomal RNA", at positions 28 to 526 of the family's 1533-position model. The record is from RNAcentral.